This 968-nucleotide long non-coding RNA is filed under the name Oryza brachyantha (malo sina). Its description in RNAcentral is "long non-coding RNA (OBRA_LNC003291)". Lineage: Eukaryota; Viridiplantae; Streptophyta; Magnoliopsida; Poales; Poaceae. The record is from RNAcentral.
AGCAAGAGAUUGCAUGCAAUGUGUUCGUCGCAUAGGAUUGGGAGGCAUGGGAAAUAAAAGCAAUGCAGGACUCUAGGCUUUCUCUGCUAGAGUGGGAAUUAAUAUACGUUGAUUGUGCUAGGUCAGCCAGGUUUUUUUUUUCCAAGAACACAAGGGAUAAACAGGCCUCUCUUGGUUGAAGCAAAUGGAGAUGUAAAAUCUCGCUUUGUCCCAUGUUGCAUCUUUUCCGAGUUUUGGUCUAAAUUUUAGAAGCUUUUAUUUCAGAGGUAUGUUGGUUGUUAGGAUACAAUUGUACAGUACUAACGGAGACUUAGUGGACAGUGAUGGUAUAUUGUAGAAGAUAGAAAAAACGAUGGUAAAUUAUAGAGAAUGACAAGUCAGUGAUAUAUUAUAGAUCGGUGGCAAACUCAGUAGCACAUAGCGGAUUCUCUUUAACAUUUAUUGAUACUUCAUGGAUUUUAUAAGCAUUAAUACACAAACACGCCCAUACAUAUAUACAUAUAUUCAUGUGUGUGUAUCCAUGCUCAACAGGUUGCAUGUUACACAGAUAAAACACGAUUUAAUAGAGGAGAUGUAUAAGAAGGAAAGAAAGGCUCUCACACAAGAGAGAAUGCACAAUCAAAAGACAUGAUAGUUUUUGAGUCUCUAGAUGUUCAACUAAAGCUUAGAGAGUUCAACACAAGCAGAAAUGCAUUUUAUGAGCACAUAUCAUUGUGAGAUGCAUUCAGUGAAUGCUCAUGGUUAUUGGUUAACGACAGCCAUGUGAGAUGGGAGUAGGAGGCCUUGAGAAUGUAAAGAGUGCAAUGUAUAAAUGAACAGCUUGUAAGUUCAGACAAUAGAGUUUAUGAAUAUGUAAUGAAGACUUAUUAGCUCCUAGCUUUUUUAUGAUUUAACAGCGUCAUGUGUUCUGAAAAAGAAUUAGCACUCCUGAGAGCGAACUCGACUUUGAAGAAGAUACUCUAGACAUU